GAGGAUGGGAAGAUGAGAAGUGCUUAUCACCGGGCCUGGAGAUGGGGACCACCCAGGCAUGUAGGGGACGCUGCCUCUCCUCCAUCCAACAACAAGCCUGCCUGUGCCCAGCCCCCUCUGGUACACGCAUUGCUCCACAUCCUCAGCAUUGAUUGAUUGAAAAUAAGACCUUGGAAGAACCCCUUGCAAAGCUGAUAUCGUACGAGCCAAGGCAGUGAGCCUCACGGGGUCGGGGGAAGACAGGGGAUCCCGAAGAUAAUGUCUGCUACGAACUCAGUUGCAUCCGCCCUGGGCCCUACGUUGACUGCAUUUGCAGAAGGACCUUCAGCACAUGAUGGAAGCAGCCCCGGAGAGGGUCAGCGAGGGGCCUCCACUGUCUGAGUCUGCUCCUGGCAACGCCUGCUCUCUGCACUCAGAGGCCCUGUCCCGGCAGCUGCCACGUUGCUCAGAAGUUCUGGCAGGGGGAGCCUGAAACCCCUGUCUGCUGGCGACACUCCCGGAGCUGCAGGAAAUCUCUACAUUUUAUUUUUUUUCUUAACAGACAAAAGUAUUUGACUCCAGAAUGAUUUCCAGGAAUUACAGUAUGAGAACUUAGUCUUUGAGAUUUUUAUUUUCUUCUUAAAAAAAUAAAAAUGAAAUCAAAGCAGAAGACA
Molecule: long non-coding RNA, 653 nt
Filed under: Pongo abelii (Sumatran orangutan)
Lineage: Eukaryota; Metazoa; Chordata; Mammalia; Primates; Hominidae
Description: lincRNA
Source: RNAcentral